Molecule: long non-coding RNA, 518 nt
Organism: Mobula hypostoma (lesser devil ray)
Lineage: Eukaryota; Metazoa; Chordata; Chondrichthyes; Myliobatiformes; Myliobatidae
Exons: 3
Source: RefSeq, a predicted model, not a curated record
UCUGCUUUUUAACGACAAUUAAGACAUUUGGGUCAGUUUUAGGAUUGUGUUUGCAUUGCCGACUAUAAGAUGUUCCUCGGAGGACUAUUGAAAAGUCAGAAAACCAGCAGUUGAUUUGUACAGUGUGACACAGCAGUUCAUGCCAUGGUCUCCAGCUUCAAUCCUGACCCCUGGAGUUUGCAUGUUCCAUCUGUUACCGCAUUCAGUUACCCUGCGUAGUUUCCAUCCACACCACAAAGAUGUGUGUACAGUGAAGUCGGGGUUCUGUCAGAGUCCGUGAUCUACAGUUCUUUGCAAGCGAUGGAUUUUUGGACUGGCUGUGUGGCCUGGCGCUUUGCUAUCUCCAGGAAAGGCCUGGAAGAUGAGCGCCUUCGGAGAGCGGCCCUGUAGACAAUUCAGUUCCUCACUGGUUUCACCGAAUGAAGCGUCGCCCUCAAUGGGGAGAGACUGCGUCCGUACAUCAGAAAGAUUCACAAUCAGGAAGGAAGGCCUCUGACAGUGUGAGAUCGGCGAAGGAG